GGGGUAUUAGUAAAACAAAUUACAUUACCUUGUCAAGGUAAAAUUGUGGGUUAAAUCCCCACAUAUCCCU
This 70-nucleotide transfer RNA is filed under the name Rasbora dusonensis (rosefin rasbora). RNAcentral's name for it is "tRNA-Asp". It matches the Rfam family "tRNA". Rfam says of the family: Transfer RNA (tRNA) molecules are approximately 80 nucleotides in length. Lineage: Eukaryota; Metazoa; Chordata; Actinopteri; Cypriniformes; Danionidae. The record is from RNAcentral.